UACGAAGGGGGCUAGCGUUGCUCGGAAUCACUGGGCGUAAAGCGCACGUAGGCGGCUUUCUAAGUCAGGGGUGAAAUCCUGGAGCUCAACUCCAGAACUGCCUUUGAUACUGAAAAUCUUGAGUUCGGGAGAGGUGAGUGGAACUGCGAGUGUAGAGGUGAAAUUCGUAGAUAUUCGCAAGAACACCAGUGGCGAAGGCGGCUCACUGGCCCGAUACUGACGCUGAGGCACGAAAGCGUGGGGAGCAAACAGG
RNAcentral lists this ribosomal RNA (253 nucleotides) under uncultured bacterium. Its description in RNAcentral is "partial 16S ribosomal RNA". It matches the Rfam family "Bacterial small subunit ribosomal RNA", at positions 524 to 776 of the family's 1533-position model. The record is from RNAcentral.